Molecule: ribosomal RNA, 1773 nt
Filed under: soil metagenome
Description: bacterial LSU rRNA
Rfam family: Bacterial large subunit ribosomal RNA
Source: RNAcentral
UGAGGGAAAGGUGAAAAGCACCCCGUCGAGGGGAGUGAAAUAGAUCCUGAAACCCUGCGCCUAUAAGCAGUGGGAGCGCUACACCGGCCUUCGGGCCGGCAAUCUGCGUGACCGCGUGCCUUUUGCAUAAUGAGCCAACGAGUUAUGGUCUGUAGCAAGGCUAAGCCCAUGGCGGAGCCGAAGCGAAAGCGAGUCUGAACAAGGCGACCAUAGUUGCAGGCCAUAGACCCGAAACCGAGUGAUCUAUCCCUGUCCAGGUUGAAGCCUGGGUAAGACCAGGUGGAGGACCGAACCGGUGUGCCUUAAAAAGCGCUCGGAUGAGGUGGGGAUAGGAGUGAAAGGCUAAUCAAACUCGGAGAUAGCUGGUUCUCCCCGAAAUAUAUUGAGGUAUAGCCUUGCGCAUCUGGCUGCCGGUGGUAGAGCACUGAAUGGACUAGGGGGCCCACCAGCCUACCAAACCCAAUCAAACUCCGAAUGCCGGCAAGCGAUAAGCGCAGGAGUCAGACUGCGGGAGCUAACUUCCGUGGUCGAGAGGGAAACAACCCAGACCAUCAGCUAAGGUCCCUAAGUACCGGUUAAGUGGGAAAGGAUGUGGGGGUGCACAGACAACCAGGAGGUUAGCUUAGAAGCAGCUACCCUUUAAAGAAAGCGUAAUAGCUCACUGGUCAAGCGCACCUGCGCCGAAAAUGUAACGGGGCUAAACCGGUCACCGAAGCUAUGGGUGCGGGAUUCUUCCCGCGCGGUAGGGGAGCGUUCGUUGCGGUGUGAAGCCGGAUCGGCAAGGGCCGGUGGACGGCAACGAAGUGCUUAUGUUGGCAUCAGUAACGAUAAAGCGGGUGAGAAUCCCGCUCGCCGCAAACCCAAGGGUUCCUCAGCCAUGCUCGUCAGCUGAGGGUUAGUCGGAUCCUAAGGUGAGGCCGAAAGGCGUAGCCGAUGGGAAACGGGUUAAUAUUCCCGUACUGGUCACCCCGCGUUAUGAGCCAUGGGGGGACGCAGAAGGUCAGGUCGGCCGGGUGAUGGACGUCCCGGUUCAAGGGUGUAGGUGGGGCCCGUAGGCAAAUCCGCGGGCCGGUUACCGCCGAGACCCGAUGACGAGAGGCCCUUGUGCCUCGCAAAGCGACUGUCGACCCCGCUGCCAAGAAAAGCCCCUAAGCCAGUUGGAUGGCCAUCCGUACCGUAAACCGACACAGGUGGGUGAGGAGAGUAUCCUCAGGCGCGUGAGAGAAACCUCGCUAAGGAACUCUGCAAACUGAGUCCGUAACUUCGGAAGAAGGACUGCCCGUAGUAGGUGGAGCCCCUCGCGGGCCGAGCCCAGGCGGGUCGCAGCGAAAGGGCCCAGGCGACUGUUUAGCAAAAACACAGCACUCUGCAAACGCGCAAGCGGACGUAUAGGGUGUGACGCCUGCCCGGUGCCGGAAGGUUAACAGGAGAGGUUCGGGGGCAACCCCAAAGCCUUGAAUCGAAGCCCCGGUAAACGGCGGCCGUAACUAUAACGGUCCUAAGGUAGCGAAAUUCCUUGUCGGGUAAGUUCCGACCUGCACGAAUGGCGUAACGACUUCCCCGCUGUCUCCAACAUCGACUCAGCGAAACUGAAUUCUCCGUGAAGAUGCGGAGUACCCGCGGUUAGACGGAAAGACCCCGUGCACCUUUACUACAGCUUUGCAGUGGUAUUAGGGUCGGCAUGUGUAGGAUAGGCGGGAGCCUAUGAAGCGGUGGCGCCAGCCAUCGCGGAGGCAGCCUUGAAAUACCGCCCUUGUCGGCUCUGAUAUCUAA